UCACAGUUAAAUAUUGGAAAACUAGCAAUUUUCAGGGCCUAUCUGCCUACACUCUGGGUAACGCAGGUACCUGAUGACUUUUCUGCCAAUACAUGCACAGUUGCAAGAAAUCGCUCAACUACAUGAACACCAGCAUUGUGUCACCUCUGAAUCAGACCCCUUAAUCCGGCUCUGCAUCCUCCAUCCCCUGCCACCAUCUUCUUUUAGUGUAACUGUUAUCCAUAAGUGAUAACUAAAUGUAACCUCUAUACAG
Molecule: long non-coding RNA, 253 nt
Organism: Pseudophryne corroboree (corroboree frog)
Lineage: Eukaryota; Metazoa; Chordata; Amphibia; Anura; Myobatrachidae
Exons: 2
Source: RefSeq, a predicted model, not a curated record